RNAcentral lists this ribosomal RNA (407 nucleotides) under uncultured bacterium. RNAcentral describes it as "partial 16S ribosomal RNA". It matches the Rfam family "Bacterial small subunit ribosomal RNA", at positions 28 to 526 of the family's 1533-position model. The record is from RNAcentral.
GACGAACGCUGGCGGCGUGCUUAACACAUGCAAGUCGAACGAAGUGGCGAACGGGUGAGUAACGCGUAAUCAACCUGCCCUUCAGAGGGGGCUAACAGUUGGAAACGACUGCUAAUACCGUAUACUGAAGGAGGGGAUUGCGUCUGAUUAGCGAGUUGGAGGGGUAACUGCCCCGCAAGGCGCUUGUCCGUAGCGGGUCUGAUGGGAUGAACGGCCACAUUGUGACUGAGACACGGCCCAGACUCCUACGGGAGGAAGCAGUGGGGAAUAUUGCACAAUGGGCGCAAGCCUGAUGCAGCCAUGCCGCGUGUAUGAAGAAGGCCCUAGGGUUGUAAAGUACUUUCAGUCGGGAGCGGUACCGAAAGAAGAAGCACCGGCUAACUCCGUGCCAGCAGCCGCGGUAAUAG